RNAcentral lists this ribosomal RNA (231 nucleotides) under uncultured Lactobacillus sp. RNAcentral's name for it is "partial 16S ribosomal RNA". It matches the Rfam family "Bacterial small subunit ribosomal RNA", at positions 132 to 355 of the family's 1533-position model. Lineage: Bacteria; Bacillati; Bacillota; Bacilli; Lactobacillales; Lactobacillaceae. The record is from RNAcentral.
AAGAGAUCGGGAUAACACCUGGAAACAGAUGCUAAUACCGGAUAAUAACAGAUGAUGCCUAUCAACUGUUUAAAAGAUGGUUCUGCUAUCACUCUUGGAUGGACCUGCGGUGCAUUAGCUAGUUGGUAGGGUAACGGCCUACCAAGGCGAUGAUGCAUAGCCGAGUUGAGAGACUGAUCGGCCACAUUGGGACUGAGACACGGNCCCAAACUCCUACGGGAGGCAGCAGCA